Molecule: ribosomal RNA, 496 nt
Filed under: uncultured bacterium
Lineage: Bacteria
Description: bacterial SSU rRNA
Rfam family: Bacterial small subunit ribosomal RNA
Source: RNAcentral
GAUGAACGCUAGCGGCAGGCUUAAUACAUGCAAGUUGAGGGGCAGCAUGAUAUACGCGAGUAUAUUGAUGGCGACCGGCGGACGGGUGAGUAAUAGGUAGGAGACCUACCUCAUACAGGGGGAUAGCAUAGAGAAAUCUGUGGUAAUACCCCAUGAGGUUAUAUGAAUAGAGGCAUAUAAUCAAAGCAUAAGCGAUUAUGCGGUAUGAGAGGGGCCUACUGACCAUUAGCUAGUUGGUGAGGUAAGGGCUCACCAAGGCGAAGAUGGUUAGGGGUUUUGAGAGAGAGACCCCCCACAUUGGAACUGAGAGACGGUCCAGACUCCUACGGGAGCAGCAGUAGGGAAUAUUGGGCAAUGGGCGAAAGCCUGACCCAGCCAUGCCGCGUGAAGGAAGACGGCCUUUAUGGGUUGUAAACUUCUUUACUACGCGAAUAGAGGUUAGUACGAGAUACUAAUAGGAAGGUAGUGUAGUAAAAAGCAACCGGCUAAACUCCGU